GACGAACGCUGGCGGCGUGGAUUAGGCAUGCAAGUCGAACGGUAUCAUCCUUUCGGGGGUGAGAGAGUGGCGAACUGGUGAGUAACACGUAGGUUAUCUACCCUCCAAGACGGGGACGAACCCAGGGAAACUUGGGCUAAUACCGGGUGUGAGCAACUUUUAGUUGUUUGAAAGGUGGCGUAAGCUGUCGCUUGGGGAUGAGCCUGCGUCCUAUUAGUUAGUUGGUGAGGUAACGGCUCACCUAGGCAAUGAUAGGUAGGCGGCCUUAACGGGUGGUCGCCCACACUGGGAUUGAGAUACGGCCCAGACUCCUACGGGAGGCAGCAGUCGAGAAUAGUCUACAAUGGUCGGAAGACUGAUAGUGCGACGCCGCGUGAACGAUGAAUCCCUUCGGGGUGUAAAGUUCUUUUAUAUGUGAGCAGUGCUUCUUAUAUUAACAGUAUGGGGAGAGAGAUAUUAGCAUAUGAAUAAGCAACGGCUAACUCCGUGCCAGCAGCCGCGGUAAUCUCGU
RNAcentral lists this ribosomal RNA (511 nucleotides) under uncultured bacterium. Its description in RNAcentral is "bacterial SSU rRNA". It matches the Rfam family "Bacterial small subunit ribosomal RNA", at positions 28 to 528 of the family's 1533-position model. The record is from RNAcentral.